This 5325-nucleotide long non-coding RNA is filed under the name Lactuca sativa (garden lettuce). RNAcentral's name for it is "long non-coding RNA (LSAT_LNC005601)". Lineage: Eukaryota; Viridiplantae; Streptophyta; Magnoliopsida; Asterales; Asteraceae. The record is from RNAcentral.
UUAAACUUUUUCAAUCAUAAAUAAAAAUCAUAAAGCAUUGUUUACAAAAUGUUUUCAAAUCAUUUUCCAUCAGAGUGUCCCAAAAAUCAUAACAUUAGGAUGAGGAGCGGUACGGUCACGCCUUCGCCUUUCCAUGGACUCCUGAAGUACCUGAAACAAUAAACUGAAAACUGUAAGCCCGAGGGCUUAGUGAGCUACCCCCAAAAUACAAUUACCACACUGACAAUACCAUAUCAGUAAUAAUCAAUCAAUCAUCAUGCAUACUGGGCCAUCGGCCUGACUGGACCGCCUUACCGGGCCUACCAUCUGUCUGAAUCCAUCCCAACCUUUAGGCAUGACUGGUCCACCACGUAGGCCUACAGUCUCCACGGACCUCUCAUAGGGUAUGUUGGCCUUCAGCACAAAGCAGGACCACCUUAUCCCAACCAGCAAGAAAAUAACCAUGUGCGCAUAACUAUCAUAUACUGGCAUAUACAAACAUCAAGCAUAUCUAUCUCACUGAUCAUAAUAAUAGAAUUCUCCUGUAACUAGAGUACCGACCUAUCAGGUCACUGACACACUAAUCCCUAUGGAUCAUAAAAUCAUAACAUACUGUCUACCUCGAUUCCGAACUAACAAAUCAUGACCAGAUGCAACAUACCAUAACAAUAACAACUAAAGGGCCGGCCUUGGUGCCGUAGAACCUAUCGAUAUAGUGAGGAUAACUCACCUCGCAGAAGUCGACACGUAAGGUAAACUCCAAUUCUCGGAUCACUUGACACAGGUUACACCACCUAUCAUCAUAGUACAUCAUACUUAUAAGUCCUUAACCUUACAAGGUACUCCAUAAACCACUAGUCAACCCCUGGUCAAAGUCAAAGUCCUCAAUCAAGGUCAACAGUCCAUGUUGACCUUAACUCGCCGAGUACCCUUNCUUAUCUCACCGAGUACCCUUGGCUACUCGCCGAGUUCCCCGAAGUACAUUCCAACUCGCCGACUGAUCGGAAUGACUCGUCGAGUUCCUUUGAUCCUCGAUCAAAAUUAAGGUCACACGUCGAGUUCCCUCCUUGCAACUCGAAAGAUACACACUCAUACAUAAUCUAGGGAAAACUCAUCCUACUCGCCGAGUUGUUCUUCAACUUGUCGAGUCUUAUGGUGAUCUUCAUCGGGCUCGCCGAGUUGUUCAUCCAACUCGUCGAGUUCACGGACAUCUUCAUAUGACUCGCCGAGUCACCUUGCGACUCGCCGAGUCCAUUCAGUUCUUUUUCCAUACCGACUUGAUUUAAGCCAUGCAGCGGCCCCAAAUCACAGAUCCAAGUUUCUAGGGCAUACUUAUCACGUAAAGUUUCAAACUUUACGUGCAUGCAUGGCUAUAAAGGCUCUAAAUGUCUAUUUUAAGUUCUUAAUGAAGCUUCAAGUCUAAGAGGGACCUCAAUCACAACCAAUACAACAACUUUAUGAUUCUAGCACCUAGGGAGGGUCCAGAUCUGAAGUUACAACCUCAGAUCUAGCCCAUAGCUCAACCUUUCAACUUAAUACUUCACCAAAAACCCUAAAACUCAACAAUGGAAGAGAUUCACAAGAAGAAAGGCGAUUUGGUUACCUCCAGAAGAUGAUGACUGAGUAAGAGCUGAUUUCCACACUCCACUGGCUCCAAUACCCUUCUCCGCUAAGCCUUCUCUCUCCAAAAUCCUGUUUUCAAGCUUCAAUCACACAAUGGCACACGCACACACGUAUUAGGGUUUUAAGGGCUCUCAAAGAUUGCAAGGAGGCCAAAGGAGGCUGAGGCUCCAUUAAAUAGGGGUGCAAACCCCGGGAUUUAGGGGUUCUUCUGCCAGCUCCUAAUCACCGAGUCCCAAAGUGGACUCGUCGAGUAGGUCACUUAACACGCGGUCCCACCCCGCUGCUACUCGACGAGUAGGUCGAGCGACUCGUCGAGUAGAGCUUCAUCCAAUAAUUCUUAUGUAAUUAAUACCUGAGAAUCGUAGAUGAAGCUUCUCAACCACAUCAUAGUUUAAUGGGGUGAAUUUAAAUAAAGUACAUGAAAGACAUAUCUUUUCGUGUGGAAUUGACUUAAAUGAUGAACCCCAAAGGCAUUGCUUUUCAUGUGGGAUUGACUUAAAUGAUGAACCCCAAAGGCAUUAUCCAUUCCAAAUGAAUGAUAUUCUAGAUAUAUUUCAUGAUUACAUCGACGAUAUACAUGAUGUAGAAGGUGAUGAAAAUUGUGGGUUUCGAGCGGUAGCUGUUUGUUUGGGGUAUAAUGAAGACCAGUGGCUUUAUAUUCGAAAACAAUUUCUUGAAGAGUUAGAGAGUCAAUAUUACGCAUACCAUAAAGUUUUUACUGACGGGUUCAAUGAGGUAUACCAGUCAUUGCGUGGGUUUGAGUCACCUGCACCUUUCUGACGACAUUGGUUGCAUAUGCCUUUGACUGGUUACUUGACUGCCAACAAGUUUGGCGUGAUCGUUCAUUGUUUAAGCCACGAACAAUCUAUGACAUGCUUCCCUCUUUGGAGAGGCCCCAGAGAGUUCCAACCCCACCAAGCCAUUACGUUGGCACUUGUAAACGGUAUUCAUUAUAUGUCGGUGUUUUUGAAAGGAAAUUACCCAAUGCCUCCUACCACAACAUAUUGGAAUGCCCAUAAAAGUUUGUCUGCAUCUACAUGGCAAACUAUCUAUCGGCCAUAUUUUGAUUUAUAUAAUCAACUUAGGUGUCGUACUUCUGAAACACUUUGGAUUUAUAUUAAAGAUUAAGUGCGAAUGUAUUUGAGCUUUUAAUUAUGUUUUUAGUCCAAUUAUUAUUUUAUAUUUGAACUUUUUUUAUUAUUUGUUACGCUAAAAUAUUAUUUUAUUAUUGUUGUGUUGUGUUUUAAGUUUUUUUGUUAAAAAAUUUGAUUAUAAAUAUUUACAUAUCCUUUAUAAAAAAAGUAUUAUAAAUCAUCUAUUUAAUAAAUUAAAUAAAUAAUAUGUUAGUAAAUAUAAUUUAUAAAUAAUUAAAUAUAAAUAUGUUUGUAGAAAUAUAUCAUCAAAACCUAAUUAUUAAGAGUAAUAUUAAUUAGUAUAAAAUAUGCCAUGAUAAUCUAAUUAUUAAAAAAUAAUUAUUAGGGGUAAAAAGUCAAGGAUAUAUUUUGUAAGUUUAAUAAAAAUGGGAGGGAUAUAAUUGAGAUAAAAAUAAUAUCUUAAUAAAAAAUACGAAUAAUAAUAUUAUGUAUAUAUUUCCUUUAUUUUCCUUCACGUUUUUUAUUAAUCAUAAUUCAAUUAUUACAAUAAUUAAAAGUAAAAAUGAUUAGUAAAGAAAAGUAAAAUUAUUAGUAAAAACAAUGAUUAAUAUUAUUUUAUUAUUGUUGUGUAGUGUUUUAACUUUUUUUUGUUAAAAAAUUUGAUUAUAAAUAUUUACAUAUCUUUUAUAAAAAAGUAUUAUGAAUCAUAUAUUUAAUAAAUGAAAUAAAUAAUAUUUUAGUAAAUAUAAUUUAUAAAUAAUUAAUUAUAAAUAUGUUUGUAGAAAUAUAUCAUCAAAACCUAAUUAUUAUGAGUAAUAUUAAUUAGUAUAAAAUAUGUUAUGAUAAUCUAAUUAUUAAAAAACAAUUAUUAGGGGUAAAAAGCCAUUCAUGUAUUUUCUAAAUUUAAUAAAAAUGGAAGGGCUAGAAUUGAGAUAAAAAUAAUAUAUUAAUAAAAAAAUAUGAAUAAUAAUAUUAUGUAUAUAUUUUCUUUAUUCUCCUUCAUGUUUUUUUAUUAAUCAUAAUUUAAUUAUUACAAUAAUUAAAAGUAGUAAUGAUUAGUAAAGAAAAGUACACUGAUUAGUAAAAACAAUGAUCAGAAAAAAUGAUUAUAGGGUAGAAAUAAGUAGAGAUUAGGCAGAAAUAAAUGAAGCCUUCUAGUUUAUCAAAAGGUAUGGUCUAUUUUGAAUUAGAUGUGAUAGUUUCGCACCCGAACCAGCGGUGGAAAUGUCGAGCGAUGAGAUUGCAUCAUGGAUCACACUAAUAAACAUACAUUGAACAUACAAAAAUACAAUAGUAAAUAAAUUAUUUUAUUUAUUGAAAAUAGUAUAUUACAAUAUCCCUAAUCUUCAGGCAACCGAUGAAAUAUUGAAAUACAAAAAGGCUAUAAUUCUAUGAUCAUUCUUGUACUCUAUCCUCCAACAGUCUAAUUCCCUAAGGAUAAAUAAGUUUAAAGAGGUGUCAACAGAAAAGUUGAUGAGUUCACAGGUUUGUAAUAAUAUAACCAAAAUAUAUUUUCUUGCUAAAGUGUAGUUAUACUAGAGUUGAUAAGUACAUAUCGGGACCAAAAAGCGUUAUCUGGAUAUAUAGAUAGUUUCAUAUCUUAAUAUNUGUUUUCAUAACUAAGUUCCACAUAAAACGAUAUUCCUUAUAUGUCUAUAGGUAUUUCAAGUUUCCUAUACAUAUUUUAUAUUCACUAUAAGGUCCUAUAACCGAGACAUUUAAGACUGAUAGGCCUUUCCCGAUGCUUCAUCACAUCGUUAAAAUAAUAAAAAGAAAAUUAUCACCCAAUGGGACUCGGUCGUCAAGGUUGUAACUAGCAACCAUAGAUGGGGGUGUCAAGCUGAAAAUAUAUAUACAUAAUUCUUCUGCUCCUUAAGAAUUAACUAUUAUAAGGUAUAUGUAUUCCUAAAUAUAGAGAUACUUAGUUUGAUGAAAAAUGCUCACAUAAAAUUGAAACAUAUUAAUAACGGUAACUUUAUUAACAAGUUUUCGGGUAUAAUUUCCAUAGUAAUACACAAUACUAUAAUGAUUCUUUCAUUUGAGGUACCACAGUAUUACUACUAUAUUUUGUAUUGAGAAAGAGUUAUUACAAUAUAAUUCUACUAUAUCCAUUGUUUAAAAAAAGUUUUGAUACAGUUUCGAUAACAUUUCUAUAUAUCAAAUAAAAAUAGUAUAGUGUAUUUCAUUUAUCCCCCUAUCCCCCCACCAAAAAAAAUGAUAGAAGAUUUAAAAUGGGGUUGUGAUACUCACUCGGUUGUAGCAUAUGUCGAAAAUAUUCAUAUUUUCUGGAAAACAGUAGUUUGUACCCGAUAAAUUGUAAUUUUGACCGACGUGAAUAGUAGUUGAUCAGAAUCAUGUCAAAAAAUAACUUCACCGACAACGUGUGGUGGCGAUUAAAGGUAGUCGGCUUUGAUAGCUUCGUUGGAUGUGACUGAUUGGCAGGUGAGGGCUAGUUGGAGCUACGUUGUUUUUUGGAUUGGAGGAACAAGGAGGCAACCGACCAUUUCGGUGGUUCUCAGAUCUUUAGCUCAGUGGAGGUAGGCGGCGCAUGGAGGUCAUCGGCGACUUCGAUGGUGGUUGAGGGUGGCAAAGGGAGGUCCGACCUUCUGACGAGUAAGUGAGAAAGGGG